This 3312-nucleotide long non-coding RNA is filed under the name Olea europaea subsp. europaea. The record is from RNAcentral. Lineage: Eukaryota; Viridiplantae; Streptophyta; Magnoliopsida; Lamiales; Oleaceae.
UUUAUGUUGAUUUUGCACUCGAUUCGAUGGUUCUAAAUGAUUUAAUCUCACACAAGCUGUGUUGAAUUUUGAUAAAGCUGGUACACUGCCUUCAAAUCUGGCUGUAUCUGGGAACAAAAAUAACAGUUGCAGAAAUUUGGGGUUUUUGGAGGAGUGAAGUUGGGUAGAAGCUUUCGGGCUUCGGUGGUCUUCUUGGUUAUAAUGGUUCUCCACAUCGUGGCUAUUUUAUUGUUUACUAGAGGUAAUCUCCUUCUCAAUCAGGCCGAACUUUCCCAAUAUAGUCGAUGCUCCGAUGUUUUCGAGUCUCCUUGUUUCCUCCUUAUGAUCACAAUGUUAACAACUCCUGUGGAGCAAUGGCUAACAUGACGAAACCUGCAGUUGACGGGGCUCGUUGUAAUUGUUCUCGAUACUCGCAGGUAUUCUUCAUAUUGCUCUCUGGAGAAGUAAAUUUAGCCUGAUUAAUCAUUAAAUCAAAACUCUUUUACUAUAAAACAAUAUCCAUACCACAUUUUAAAAAUCCUGAUUUAUAGGUUUGAUUUUGUUACUCCAAGUACCUUCUAUGCAGGCAAGGACUUCGACUUCAUUGUGAAUCAGUUUGCUUUUGCAUUUUCACAUGUCCCGUGAUACGCAUUUUCCUACAGAACUAUGUUUUUUUAAUGUUCUAUAUUCGAGUAGCUUUGCCAAACCAUUUACCAUUUAUUCCAUUUUUAUUGAUAAGAAUUUCCACAAGUGAAACCAUGGAUGAAUAAGCUAUAUUCAGUUACACUGUCUAAAGGUGAUGAUCUUAUGUUUUAUCAUUUUAUUUUUGAAAUUUUAUUAAGUGACUUGAGGGUCUUUCUAGAGUUGGUUAAUAGGUCACUCUAUUCCCUCAUUAGACUAAACAAAGUUGCAUUGAUGUCUGUGUUUUAUGGUCUAGUUUUUGUACACUUAGCUGGAUAUUAGAUAUUUGAGGAAUUUUAAAUUGACCUUCUUACAAUGUGGAAACUGCAAAAUAGCCUUACACUUUGAUUCUUUGUUUAAAAGGCCUUGUUUUUAUGUAAAUAUCUUAACUAUCCAUACUAGAAGCGACACUAAUUGAGUCAAAUUGACCCUAACCUGUUAAAAUCAACAUAUUUCUAUAUUGACCCCAAAACAGGUCGAAAUCAACACUUGUUUGCUACCUAAACCAAUACAAAUCAACAUAUUUCUAGUAGUACUUCCUAUCAACCUGCAUUGAAGGUUAAGUUUGUUAUUUUUGAUAUCUCUAUCCUUAAAUUUUAUUUCCAUCAUUAAUUAGUCAUUCUACUGCUGUUGGGGCAGAGAAAUUUAAUAAUAUCUUCUAAUUGUUGUGCUAAUGGAAAUAUCUCUUUUUCACUCUUGAAUUUUUGCCCUUCUAAAGUAUUGUCUAACUUUUUAGGAUGAGAAUUUACUAUUCAAAACCCAUCACCCUGCCAGUUGGCAAAGAAAAGAAAGAAACACAAAGUAUUCUUGUUCAUAUUGAAUUUCAGGUACUUAAUUAGCAUGCUUGCAUUUGUGCGAUCUUCCAUCCUAUCUAUUGUGAAUACAAGCUUGUAAAUUUAAGAAAGACAGAGAAGUCAGAUUUGUUAUUGAAGCCAUACAUUCUAUGUUAAGGUGCUACAACUUUGUCGCAAGCAAAAGUUCAUUCUUGAACAUUUAAAUUCACCGAGAAUUUCGAGGAAAUUAUGUAUAUUACAUUAUUGAAUUGACAAGAAUAAUCUAAACUACAUGUGGAUUAAGUUUUGUUGAAGUUUCCUUUUUAAGCAAAUUGGAUGUUGCAAUUUUUAUUGAUGCAUUAGAGUUUUAUUAUAGUAUUAGGUGCAAAAGCAUAUUUUUAAAUUAUGAUGCACCGACAAGGACACGUGUCUCCGAAACGAUACGUAUUGGAUAUGUUGAUAUCCGAUUUUUCAAAAAGUAGCGAUACUAUACAUCACCGGCAUGUUGAUUGAAUUCUUUAAAAUUUUUCAUUUAUAUAAUAUAAGUUUAAUUUUAUACUUUAUUAAUUUUUCUUAUUGAAAUAUUUCAAAUAUAAGUAUCUAUUUUUUAUUUACUAAUAACUUUGAGUUAAAAAUAUACAAUAUUUUUAAUAAAAAUUGAAUUUUUUUAUCGUAGAGUGUUCGAGAAGUGUCAGUAUCGACACAUGUCUGACACGGACACUUUACCCUAGUUGAAGUGUCCAUACUACAAAGUUUUUAAAUAAAGCUUUCUCAAAUCCUAUCUACAUGAUCCAAGAUUUGAUAUAUGCGGGGAUGGAAUUGUGUCCAGAUCAUCAAGGAACAAAGAGACUGUUAAUUUCCAUAAUGACCCUCUACAACUUGAAAUGCAUGUAUAUUUCUAUCCCUCCAAAUCUCUAGCACGAGGAACUGUGGUUCCAUGAGCCAACUUCUAGUUUUGUUUUCCCAGCAACUUUUUUGACAAACAGAAGUAAUUUCUGCACAGGGGCAUGCACUAAUAACAAAGACCUUGAAAUUUGACACCAAAACUCAAAAACACCUCAUUGCAACGGGCUAAUGGAAAAAUGUUUACGCUUGUUUUCUAGUCUCUUAUGAGCCCCUGAGAGAUGAAAUUUUAAAAUUCUGUUUGAAGAGGACUGUUUAAACAACCAUUGGAUUAAACAAAUUGAUGAUCAAGUUUUGUGUAUAAAGGCAUGGCACAUUUUACUUCAAUUUAUCUUUGAUGCCAUAUUAUUUUUUUUGGGGCUUGACAACUGGUGGACUUCCCACUUUUAUUGACGUAGAAAACAGCUAUGGUGCACUAUCAAUGCAGAAGGUAACUUGAUACAUCAGGUCUGGCACUGUAUUUGAUUUAGGCUUUGGCAUCAGAUGCAUCUAAUUUAAUUUCUUAUAUAACAGUUAAUUUGUUUGCCAACGUUCAUAAUUUUUGUCUUUAUUUCCUUCUUUUAUCAUGCCUCUCACUCAGUCACGUUAAAGAUCUUCAUACGGCAUGCAUUACUUUUCAUCAAUGUUUUUGCUCAAAAUCUAUCGUGCUCAUGAAACAACGAUGUGUUUUUAAUUUAAUGUUCUAUUUAAAUAUCUAAAUAAGUUUUCUUUUCCUAAUAUUUAGCUCCCUCUUGAGAUCUUUAUGGCCUUGUCUGUCAGGUGGAUGGCAGGUGCAUCAAGAACUUGCUUCCAACCCUGUACAGAGAGUAUUUGCUCAUAGUACCCUUUCUUGGAGUGGUAUGAUUUCUGCUUAUUUUCAUUAUUUUGGUUGCUAAUUUAUUAGAAGCUAGUUUAUUUAUUCUCCAGAUAUGGGAGAAGUGUAGCGACGGAAAAAAAAAUAAAAAAAAAUGUUGUGUUUCGUUUUAAAAUAAAAUUU